UGGGGGAUAUUGCGCAAUGGGGGCAACCCUGACGCAGCAACGCCGCGUGAAGGAUGAAGGUUUUCGGAUUGUAAACUUCUUUUAUUAAGGACGAAACUUGACGGUACUUAAUGAAUAAGCUCCGGCUAACUACGUGCCAGCAGCCGCGGUAAUACGUAGGGAGCAAGCGUUGUCCGGAUUUACUGGGUGUAAAGGGUGCGUAGGCGGCUUUGCAAGUCAGAUGUGAAAUCUAUGGGCUCAACCCAUAAACUGCAUUUGAAACUGUAGAGCUUGAGUGAAGUAGAGGCAGGCGGAAUUCCCCGUGUAGCGGUGAAAUGCGUAGAUAUUCGGAGGAACACCGGUGGCGAAGGCGGCCAACUGGGCUUUAACUGACGCUGAGGCUCGAAAGUGUGGGGAGCAAACAGGAUUAGAUACCCUGGUAGUCCACACUGUAAACGAUGAUUGCUAGGUGUGGGGGGUCUGACCCCUUCCGUGCCGGAGCUAACGCAAUAAGCAAUCCACCUGGGGAGUACGACCGCAAGGUUGAAACUCAAAGGAAUUGACGGGGACCCGCACAAGCAGUGGAUUAUGUGGUUUAAUUCGAAGCAACGCGAAGAACCUUACCAGCACUUGACAUCCAACUAACGAAAUAGAGAUAUAUUAGGUGCCCUUCGGGGAAAGUUGAGACAGGUGGUGCAUGGUUGUCGUCAGCUCGUGUCGUGAGAUGUUGGGUUAAGUCCCGCAACGAGCGCAACCCUCGCCAUUAGUUGCUACGCAAGAGCACUCUAAUGGGACCGCUACCGACAAGGUGGAGGAAGGUGGGGACGACGUCAAAUCAUCAUGCCCCUUAUGUGCUGGGCUACACACGUAAUACAAUGGCCAUCAACAGAGAGAAGCAAUACCGCGAGGUGGAGCAAAACUUCAAAAAUGGUCUCAGUUCGGACUGCAGGCUGCAACCCGCCUGCACGAAGUUGGAAUUGCUAGUAAUCGUGGAUCAGCAUGCCACGGUGAAUACGUUCCC
RNAcentral lists this ribosomal RNA (1000 nucleotides) under uncultured bacterium. Its description in RNAcentral is "bacterial SSU rRNA". It matches the Rfam family "Bacterial small subunit ribosomal RNA", at positions 355 to 1375 of the family's 1533-position model. The record is from RNAcentral.